RNAcentral lists this long non-coding RNA (30767 nucleotides) under Capsicum annuum. RNAcentral's name for it is "long non-coding RNA (CANN_LNC007990)". The record is from RNAcentral. Lineage: Eukaryota; Viridiplantae; Streptophyta; Magnoliopsida; Solanales; Solanaceae.
AUGAACAAGUUGAAAAGUGUCCCAAACAUCCAUAAUUACUCCAAAUAGUAGCCAAAAACACAUUUUCACCUUUUUUGUGAACUUAGCAUCCAUAACAUGAUUUCCUGCAAAACAUACCCAAAAAGCAUCAUAAAUAACAAAAUAACCUCAAAACCCUGCAUAUUUUCCUCAUUUUAAGCAUUGCAAAGUGCUAUGUUUCUAUAGCAUAUCAACACCCUCCACUUAGAAUAUUUGCAUGUCCUCAGGCAACAUAACACAAUAUGAACAAAAACAAUGCUUAACUAGGAAUCUAAGCUAUUCAAGGUAGUCAGUCAACACUUAAAGCUCAAAACACACACACCCUCUAAUCUUAUUUCUCAAGACCAACUGCAUAUGAACAUGGAGCAAAAAAAUAUGACGCAAUGGGAUCAAGGUAUGGAAAUUACAUUAGCAAUAGACAACCACUCAUAUAUACAAGUUACACUACCCAAUACAAAUAAAUAGUUAGCAAUAUGACUCAAGUGCCAUUAUAACAAGGAUAUCCUACUCACUCAUAUGAAAUAAUGCAUGUCAAUGUAGGGAUGGUCAAGAGACACUCACAUCCAGAAGAGAAGAUCCAAUCAAUGUAUGUUAAAUACUGUAGGCUUGCCCUUAUUUUUGUUACCUUAGCAUUCAGAUAGUCAUGUUAGGACCACUAUCGAACUUUUCUCGACUAGUAAUACGGCUUGGGGUCUGUAUGGUACAUAAGGACAUAUCAAGUGACUAAGCCUCUUUGGCACUACACUAACAUUGGGGUUUUAUUUACUAGCCAAUUUCCUUUUUAUUCUACCUUUAUUUCUCCUUUUUUAUUCUUUAUUGCACAUUCAGGUUGGGUAUGGUCUUUCAUUCUUUCUUUUUCACUUUUUCAUAAUUUCUUGCUUCCACACCUAUCCCUACUAACUCUUUAUUUUAUCUUACCCUUCUACAUACCACUUUACAAUAUGCACUCCUAUGAUAGCUACCCUCAACUUAGGAAUUUUGCCUGAGUUGAGGUGCACAAUGUUCAAUGAGGACAAGGGCCAAAAUAAGUUUAUUAUAGCACAACUAGGAAGGUGAGUGGUGAAAUAAGAUAAAUACGUUACAAGACUCAAAAUAGGGAUCAAGGGAUACAAUUCACACAUAGAAGGUUAUUUAGUCUAAAAGUGUACUAAAAUAAAAAAAAAUGGCCUAUGAUCCUUUCCUGAUCGACUAUGCUUUAACCUAGGAUAAACUAACCAGGCAAGUUCUGAAUUCAACAUACAAAAGGAACUAGGUAGUAUCUCACACACACAUGGCAAAAGUCAAUAAUACCAACUACUACCUAUCCAGUUCAUGCAAUUGUUAGCAAAUGAUUAUCAUGUCCCUUAUCUUAAUGCCAUAACAAGAUCCACAAUGUUCACACAUAUGUACAUUUACAUAGUUCUUAAAUAAUUUUUUUUUGAAGGGGUAUUAAAAACUAAUUAAAACAUGACUAUUUCCCUAAAUACUUAAAAAUAUCCUAAUUACAUAAAAGCAACACAUAAUACAAAGAAAACACAAUAUGACUUAAAAUUAUCCAAGACAUGCCGAUUCUACAAUCAUACUGUGGCUGACAGGAAAAAAAGCAUGGCAACAAAAACCUACGAUAGUAUAGUAUGCCCACCUCCAACUAAAAGUUGUGCACUAUCCUCAAUGCACUAAAUUAAAGUAAAAUAGAGGAGAGUGAGAACAUACCUGGGAUGCACUAGGUGCCCAAAUCAUGAGCAUCCCCAGAUGGGGGUAUAUUAGCUAGCAAAGAUGAUGGUGGUGGAUGUGCACACUAGAUAAUGGAUCCGCUGCUAUAGAUGUACACCUCUGCCUAUCGAUAAAUGCAGACUCCAUUGAAUCAUACUUGGCCAUUUUAACGGCCUGGUCAUAUGGUAAAUCAAGCUCCUACAAGUCUUCUAUGUGACCUCUUUUGUACCCAAUUACUGGGACCUCCUCAUCACCCUUCCCAAGGAAAUCAAACUAUCUUGAUAUGCAUGGAGGUGAUAUCUAGACCACCUAGGGUAUAAUUAAGAAACUGGCUGCAACACAGCUCUCUAUGAGAGAGCAUACUUUGCUCAUAAUAUAUCAAACUUUCUCUCAUUUAGGCUAGAUCCAGUGUAUCUGUCUCUGUGUAUUGGGAUGUAAACUAACUUUCAAACUCAUCAAUCCAUGUCUAAAAGUCAUCAAAUAAAUUGGAUAGUGCAACAUUCUAUGCAACCUCCUACCAGGCCUCUGCCUGCUCAACUUUAGUCCUAAUAUUUGAUCUCAUCUUCUCUUAGAGGGUAGUCAUCUCAAUCUUAAUAACCCUCACUCAAGAAUUGGUGGCCCUCUAUCAGUCUGCUAGGCUCUAUAAAAACUCACUAGAUAUAGUGAUCAUAUCUGAAGUAGGAGUUGCAAUGGAUGGGCAAGUAAGCCCUGAAGGUACACCCACCAACUCUGAGGUCAAACCCAAGGAUGAAGAAAAAGUAGUAUGUGUGCCCUAGCCCUGCAUACUAGAAUUUAGAGCCUCUCUCUACUUCUCUAUCUCCAUGUCAAUACUAACAUCCACAUUACCACGAUGUGCCUCAUCAGGCUCUGAGGAAACUUCUAGGCCCUUAAACUAGCCCUUAAUACUACUUUCUGCUAUUUUGGUAUCCUAGAAGUGCCUAGACAUGCCAGAUCUUUCAUAGUAUUUGUCUGUGUAGUAGCCAUCACAAGUACCCUCUUAUCAAACCCUGGUAUCUCAGUCACACCAGCCAUAUCACAUAGCCUCUGAAUCAUGUAAGAGAAUGGUAAAUUAGUCAACUCCCCAAAUACUCUAUUGUGUAACUCAUACCUAAGGAUGGAAACAAAAUCAAUGGCAUAACCGAUAGGAUGGAAACAAAAUCAAUGGCAUGACCGACCAUCAUACAAGUAACCCACUCCCAUGUCAAUGUAUUAUCUGAAGUAGUGGGUAUCAGUCGGUAUCUAAUCAGCAACCACCAAAACUUAGCCUAAAUGUCAAUAGGCUCUUCUUGAUCAUAGCCUGCCCCUCAAUCUAUGGGGUUGCAUCACCCAAAGAUAAAAAAUAACUAGGUAUCCACCUAGCCAUCUAAACCCUCUCUCAUCGAUGCUCAGCCUUCUGCAUGAUAUGUCGAAAACGUACGACCCUCAGUCUGUGGUCACACUCAGUUAUAGAUGCAUGAGUGAUAUAAUUUAGGCUGAAUAUAACUCUAUGAUAGUAUCUAUUAAAAUGUCAACUCUGACCCCUCUAACCAAUAUAUGAUCAAGAUGUGGCUGCAUUAUAAAUCUCACUAGGCUUGGAUGUCUGUGCAAAGGAAUGACUACUGUAGCUCUACAGGAUUUAUAAAAUUCCCAUACCAUAGCUAGGCUAUAGGAACUGACUGGUCUAGUUAUCCACUCUAGCUAAUAUUUGUAGCUGUGGCACUCGAUCUUGCCCCGAUAGGUCAAUUCAGUGCUCUUUAGAAAUGCACCUAGUAGGCUUAUGUUGUAGUAUCUCCUACAUCCCUUUCACACACCACCUCUAAUGUCCCUCUUUGGGAGGUGUAUCUGAGUCAUAUAUAGGAGCGAGACUCUGUUAUACUGAUGCAUCAUGGGAAAUUUGCUUUGUACCCUCCUCAAAUUGGGGUACAUUUGUCUGUUGUACAUGAGUAGCGAUACCCUCCUCAAACUGGAGCACCAUCAAAGGAUCCUUCUAUUUAACCUAAUAAAAUAAAUCCUGGGACCCCUCCUCAGACUAGGGGUCUUGAGAAAAAACCUAUGGAGUAGGCUCAAAAUCUGUCUUCUCAUUAUCACCAUCAUUAGGUGGAGGAGUGUGUGGGGGUGACAUCCUUGUUGACUUCAUUCAUAGUCAGGCUGCAACUGUCUGAGCAAUAUGGCAAGUCUAUCCUUUUAUGACUAUGUAUGUCACCCUUACUACAGUGUCUCUACGUUGCUGCCUUGGGUACUCUUCUACUAAACCGCUAGGCUCGGGAGACUCUGCCCAUCUCCUAGAGGUAGCGAACUAUGUCUUCUUCAAAUUUGUAGGUGUCAUAUGUACCUAAAAAACUAGUUCUUAUUUUUCAACAAAAGUGAGGGAUAACAAAAGUUGAAGAAAAAUUCAAGAUUCAAAAAGUUUGAAUUUUUCCUCAAUUUUCACACCUCUAUAACCUGUUUGAAAUCCCAACAAGUCCAAUAAGCAUAUGCCUAUCAUAAAUCAUAACUCUCAAUUAAACAAACAUGCUCAACUAGUGGUAUUACUUUUAUUCAUUCAAGUUUAACUUCCGAUUGGGGCCUAACUUUAUAUUAUUCUUCAAAGUAAGGCCUUACAUUAUGAUUUUAGGUUACUUCAAGGAUCCGAUAUAUAAGAAUGAUAGAUAGAUAUAUAUAUUUUACAAUAAAAUACACAUAUCAACUUGUUUAAACAAUAAACAGAUUAAUACAUAACCAUUAGGAGCUGAGAAAGUUACCUCUUAUAUGAAGAACCGGAAGUGAGUAAUGAAAAACUCAAGAAAAACUACAGUUGUAACUUGUUUUUAGUGUGUUGGGGCAAGUUUAUAUUACAAAUAAGUGUCAAUAUACCCUUUACUUAAGUGUGGGCUUAGUUUGUAUUUUAAAAUAGAUGUUCGAAUUCAAAGGUAAAAGUGAAGUUUCGAGGAUUAGAAUGAUGUUAAGGUUGUUUAAAUAUAUGUGGGGGCUGUUUUAGGUCAUAAGUGUUGGUGGGCCCAAAAUUUGAAUUAAAAAGUAGCCCCAAUUUUCACCUAGCCGUGUCUUGUACUUGCGGCUAUCACCUGCGGUCAGGGUUUGGGUGCAGGUGCCACCUGCGGCCAGCAGGUGCUGGGCCAAAAAUUUUGGCCCACUUUUGUGCAAUCCAAACUUGGAGUUUUGAUCUUUUUCCAGUUACUUAUGGUCCCGUAACCUAAGUUUGAGGUCCCAAAAGUAAAAUUAGAUGCCAAAGCCCAUAACUUUCCAUUUUUCAUCCUCAAAAUUUCCACUUUUAAACUUAUUACUCAACUUACUGUGAGGGACUUGUAAACAUGAUAGGUUGAUCACACAGUCCACUUACUAGUAAAUCGAUGAAUAUAGCAAUUUUUUCUGUAUUUUGGGUAAGUCCAAGAGAUAAAAAACUACAAAAAGGAAAAACAACAAAAAUAUGAACAAUAACAAUAGUGGGUUGCCUCCCACCCAACCCUUGAUAUAAUAUCGCAGCACGACAUGGCUGUAUUGGUUACUCAAACUUCACCAACAAGCCUAUGGGUUGCCUCUCAUGCAACUCUUGAUUUUAUGUCAUGGCACGACGUAGGUAUCUUGACUACUAAAAAUUCAUCAAGAUACCCAUAGGAGUAUCCUCCAGGUUCAUCAAUGCAAUUACUCACCGAUACUACCCUCAUUUUGGUUGGAUGCCUCAUUGCCUUUCAAAUGUUGAAUGUAGCCUCCUCAUCCCUGACUCUAAAUUUCAUCUCACCUUUCUCUAUGUCAACCAUAGCUCUACCUGUGGACAUAAAUGGUCUUCCCAAUAUAAUGGGCAUCUUGGUGUCAACCUCAUAGUUUUUUUAAACUAAAUUAGGCAAUAGCCUAUUUUAUUAAACACAAAAGAGUUCAAUAAAAAAUAAAUGGGUCAAGCCCAAGAGUGACCUGACUCGAAUGGCCUGACCCAGAUCUAACAAAACAAAAAGAUACUAUCAGACAACCAUAGGUUUAGUAUUCAUUUUUGAAAGUAAAGCAGCCAUAGUGUUGUCCCUUCGCCUUCUCCACCUAGAUCACCAAUGAGGCUAUUUAUACAUGCUUUAGCUUCUUGCUCAAUCUAUGCGGAUCAUCAGCUAUCUUCCUCUCCCUUUGUUAAGCUAAGUGUCUAAACUUCUAAUAACCUUCUUCCCUUUUCUAGCUCAAUGGGUUGAGUUUCUUAAGAAACAAAUACCACCAUUUGUACUAGAAAAUAGAGUCCAAUAACUAAAGUUUCACAGCUUUAACAUCAUAAAAGGUGUGUCUAAACCACUCUUUGGGAUUUUAUAGAUCUGCCUUAGCUGGUAUUUCAGUAUACGAACCCUUUUCAUCCAAAAUCUCAGUAGAUGCAGGCAUCAUACUCAAAAGAAAAUCACUUCUAACACCAGGUAGUUACAUCUCUAUAAAUUCCUAAUUUGAUUACAACACUACUUAUAUAUAUUUUUUAACAUUAUACUAUGCUAUAUUAUUUCUAUUUUUCAAUAGGAUGAGAUAAGUGAAAAGAACCAUUCAUCAAUUUGCAUCGAUUUUGAUAUUCUAGUUCCAGGUUCCAAAUUCUUGCUAACACCUUAUCACCUCUUCCUUAUUCACUUUGUGAAAUCCCUAAAUGUUGUUGUAUAUUGCACCGUUUUUAUGAAAGUUUUUUUGGUACUUCAAAUCCGUUGUGAAACUUUUCUAAAAUUUGGAGUCGUAAUUUUGUCGAGCAUAAUGAUAGUUUUUCCUUUUGCUAGAAGCUGUUCCAUAUUAUUGUAUUGAAAUUCACUUGAAAAGUCAAAAACUAAAUUAGUAAAACAAAUCAGCUAGAGUGUUACCUUUCCAAAAAGAAUGUACCACUAUAACUGAUCAAUUUUCUAUCAUAGCUUUAAUAGAUUUGACCACGAUUGUUAUACUCCAUGGGACCUUCCACUGUUGAUUGGGAAUCUAUACCAUAGCCCAUGAAUCAGUUUGCACCACUACUUGAUGAAUAUAAUUAGUUGUACAGAACUGAAGGCAUUCCCUGAUAUCUCUAGCUUCUGCAACUAAGCUAGUAGCAUCUUUAAUUCUAGAACCUUUUGCUACCACUAGGUCUCCAAACUAAUCUCUAAUGCAAAAUGCAAUAUAACUAGGUCCAGGAUUUCAUUUAAAGGCACCAUCUAUCUUACCCUUUAAUGUAACACCCCGAGAGUACACCCUGGAUGCCACACGGUGCUAACAGUCUCAAGAUACCACAAGCUAACCCCUGAGCUAGUGCCUACUGUGAGUACUGAAUACUAUACUGAUAAUGAACGUGUGCGAAAACAACUAAAUAUGCCAUAAGGUUUCAAUACAGAAAACAAUACAACUGAAAUCCACAAGUCUAAAACAUAAGAAAAAAUGCUAAAAAUUGACUGAUAAAACAGACAACUAACUGACUGUUUGAAAUAUCUGAAAGCCUCUAAAACUGACUAAAUGAGAGUUGAUGGGAUCGGCCCCAACUAAAUCCAACUGACUACUAAACUGAAAUACUGAAAUCACAUAAUCGGUCCUUCGAAUAUGAGGACACAAAACUGUUACUGCUGUUGAUACACUGGGAGGUCUAGGUGCAGUCGGGAACCUGAGCAUCUGAAUAUACUGUUAUGCUAGAUGGGGUUAAGCUGAUAUGCAUGGGCUUAUGUACAUAAAUAAUAACAGACUGAAUGAAUAGCAUGAGAUAACUGAUACAUUUUAUGCAUGAAAGCGGUAAAGCCAAGGAUACAUGACUAAGCAUAUAACAUGAUACAGAAUAGCUUUUAAACUGAAGUACUAAAGUACUGAUUCUGAAUAACUGCUAACAGUAUGCUAUGGUCAAACAAACCUAAAACAGAACUUUGUACUGAAUACUGAACUGCGAUUGUGGGAGCAUGCUAUAAUCGACAUGCCCUAAUGUACUAUCAGGGUCCAACUAGUAACCCAGUUGGAAGGGUGUUAGCACCAUGUCAAGGGUACUAACAAUGGCUAUGUGGAUCCACUAAUCUGAUAUCUCGAAGGACGAAGGUGUCAUGCCUAUCUGAUGGGAGACCCUUCUAAGUCUAUAGUGGUGUAGGUAUAGAACAAAGGGACUGCUACUAACAUCUCAUACCUAUUGACAAGGGAGACAAAUGACUCAUACUUACUUACAAGGGAAAUGCCAUCCCUAAUCACUUGGUGCUAAGUCUUUACUCCCAACUAAAGGAUAUUGAUUACUGGACUGAACUAAGUUUGACUGAUAUGGUAACUGACUAAACUGACCAUAUUCUAAUAUAUAUGAAACCAUUCUGAAAAUACUGAGACUAAGUAAACAACUAAGUUUUUGGUUAUUCAUAAUCCCCCAGACUCGAUAACAUUACCAGUAGAAAUAUACUAAAGCUUCAUAAGCAUGAUAAGUAGUCAUUGUUCAAAAUUCAUCUCUUAGGCAUUUCAUCACACAAAUGGGAGUCAUAAAGUUAAAGCAUGGGAAUAGUUAAAUCAUAGAAUAAUAACAUAAUUUCAAUACAAAAAUCAUGGGUUAAGGAUUUCACUUGUAAAUAUCAUCCUUCAAAUAGGUCAAAGGCUAAUUCCAACAAAAACACAUAUCAACAUGAUAUAAAAAUUAAAAUUCAUGGAAGUUCAUGGAUAAAAUUUAUGAAAACAUGUAACGGCCAUGAUUUUAAACUUUAAAGCAGAUUCUUGGACUCCAUGGGUGAAUAGGACCCAUGACUGAACAUCUAACAUACCUUAACUGAUGAAUUUUCAUAAGUCCUUGGAGAUAUUUCUUGAAGAUUGAACUUGGAUUUAAAGAAGCAAGGGUUUUAUUCUUGAGAGAGUUUGUGAAAAGAUGAGUGAUUUUGCCAUUUUGGGACCUUAAUCUCAUGUUAUGGGUGAGGCAAAGUAGGGAAAAUGACUCAAACAUCCCCACCUACAAGAAUUAAUUAAACUAAACAUGGACAGUUAUGUGGUAAGUAACGCAUUGUAUCACUUAGUCGACGCACAACAUUGCACCUCACCAACGCAAUAAGUGGCGCACCGUGGCCAUAUCGCAUUGACUCGCUAGUUUGAACAUCCAAACAAGCCUUAAACUACAUCCUAAAAAUUUAAAACUUACAUAAGACAUGCUAUCGACCACCUCGAUCCUAAAUUAACUUUAAAAUCGAUGUUCUAAGGUUGGAAAGGUCGAGAUUAAAAUCACCAAAGUUUAAGAGGCUUUGGAAAUGACUAAGCCUUAAUAUUUAGUGAAAUUUUCUAAGUCUUGGACCCCUUUAGCAUGCAAGAAUGAGCUAAAAUAAGGUUGGAUCUUAUGGGGUCUUACAAUAUCUCUCACUUGGGAACAUUCAUCCUCAAAUGAGACUGGUUAAUCUAAGACUUAUUGAGGUACUAAGAUUUUAUCCUGAAUAUGCACAACUGAAACAUGAUUACAUAACUGAGUCUGAACAUGGUGACUGACUGAACUGAUUCAUUAAUGCAUGCAAUGACAUAUAUAUAAUUAUAUGGCUAGGACUGAGAAUAAAAAAGAGAUAAUAGAAGGGAAAACUUUUACCUUGAAAUAAAUCUGAGUUGGCAGAGAAAAGUUGAGGGUACUUGGUUUGCAUAUCUGCUUCCGCUUUUAAGUGGCUCCCUCAACAGAUUGAUUCUACCAAAUAUCUUUGACCAAACUUCUUUAUUCCUUAGUAUAUGAAUAUGGUGAUCUAAGAGUUCGACUAGGACUUCUUUGUGAGGAAGGCUAUCCUAAACAUCUAAGCUUUCUAAAGAAACAACGACAACUGGAUCACCAAUACACUUUUUUCAACAAAGAAAUGUGAAACAUUGGGUUCACUGAUGCCAAAUAUGUAGGCAAAUUAGGCUUGUAAGCUACUUUUCCAAAGUGGCUCAUGAUUUUGUAAGGGCAAACAUAUCAGGGACUAAGCUUCCCCUUCUUUCCAAACCUCUUCACUCCCUUCAUGGGAGAGAUUUUCAAAUAAACCAAGUCUCUAACUGUGAACUCAAGAUCUCUCUUAGGUAUAUCCGCAUAGGAUUUCUGAUAGCUUUGGGCUGUCUUAAGCCUUUCUCUAAUUACCUGAACUUUCUCCAGUGUAUCAAAUACUGAAUCUGGCCCUAUUAAUACAAUUUCACCUACCUCAAACCAACCAAUAGGAGAUCUAUAUCUCCUCCUAUACAGAGCCUCAAAUAGAUCUAUUUGGAUACUGGAUGAUAAUUGUUAUUGUUGGCAAACUCAAUCAAUAGCAAGUGAUCAUCCUAACUGCCCUUAAAUUCAAUAAUGCAAGCUCUCCAUAUGUCUUCUAGGGUCUGAAUGGUCCUCUCUUCUUGAUUAUCUGUAAGAUAAUACUGUACUGAGAUGAACUUGAGUACCAAGACCCUUCUAAAAAUCUUUUCAUAAGUGAGAGGUAAACUGAGUACCUCUAUCUGAAAUAAUGGAUAAUGGGACUCCAUACAACCUAACCAACUCUCUAAUAUAGAGAUUGGAAUAAUCCUCGGCUGAAUAAGAAGUAUGGACUGGUAAUAAAUAGGCUGAUUUGGUCAUUCUAUCUUCCAUAACCUAAAUCAAAUCAUGCUGACGACAUGAAUAAGGCAACCCUAUCAUAAAGUUAUGUUCACCUCUUCCCACUUCCAAGUGGGGAUGCUGAACUCCUACAGAAUGCCACUAGGUCAUUGGUGCUCAGCCUUAACCUACUGACAAUAAGCACACUUGGCUACAAAAUCAGCAAUAUCCCUUUUUAUAUCACUCCACCAAUAAAUUUUCAACAAAUCACGGUACAUCUUAGUGGCUCCUAGGUGAAUAGAGUAAAGUGCCCUAUGUGUUUCUACGAGAAUUUGAUGUCUCAAACCAUCUACACAUGGCACACACAGUCUACCCUGGAAAUGCAACACACCAUCUCCACCUUGGGAGAAAACCUCUACUUUCUGAUCUCUGACUGACUCCUUCAACUCCACUAGACUGAGGUCCCUAUCUUGUUUUUUUUUUUACUUCAGCAACCAAACAAGAUUCCAAACUAUUCUAAACCCAAACACUAUGCUUAGAUGAGUCAACCAAAUGCGUAACCUAGCCAACUGAUGAACCUCCUGAACCAGCUUUUUCUUAUCAUUCUUAACACGAGCCACACUACCUAUAGAUAAUCUACUAAGGGCAUCUACCACUACAUUGGCCUUGCUCAGAUGAUACAAAACACUCAUAUCAUAAUCCUCCAAAAAUUCUAACCACUUUCUUUGAUAGAGAUUUAACUCUCUCUACAAAAAGAUAUACUACAAACAUUUAUGGUCCACGAACACAUUAACAUACAUCCCAUAUAGAUAAUGCCUCCAAAUUUUUAAGGCAAACACAACAGCUGCUAACUCAAAAUCAUGGGUAGGAUAAUUCUUCUCAUGGGGUUUAAGUUGUCUAGAGGUAUAAGCUAUGACCUUAGCUCUCUACAUCAAAACACAACCCAAACCAACUCUGGAAGCAUCACAGUAAGCAACAAACCCAUCUGAACCAUCCGGAAAGGUCAAAACUAGGGCUGAGAUAAGUCAAGCCUUCAAUUCAUGAAAACUCUUCUCACAAGAAUCUGACCACUAAAACUUGACUUUCUUCUGAGUCAAUCUGGACAUAGGGGAUGCAAUAGAUAUAAAACCUAUAAAAAACCAUCGAUAAUAGCUAUUUAAACCCAAGAAACUCCUAAUAUCUAAUGGAGAAAUAGGUCUGGGCUAGUUUCUCACUGCUUUGGUCUUUUGAGGGUCAAUCUAAUGCCAUCAUCAAAAAUAAUAUGGAAAAGAAAAGCUAUUGAUCUUAGCCAAAACUCGCACUUACUAAAUUAGCGAACAACUGAUGGGCUCUAAGAGUCUGUAAUACUAUUCUGAGGUGGCUGGCAUAAUUAUUUUCAUUAUGGGAAUAGACAAGGAUGUCAUCUAUGAAGACUAUGAAAAAUAUAUCCAAGUACUUCUUGAACACUCUGUUCAUCAAGUCCAUGAAAGUUGCUGGGGAAUUUGUUAGACCAAAGGACAUGACUAGAAAUUCAAAGUGACCAUAUCAAAUUCUGAAAGCUAUUUUUGGAAUGUCAUAUUCUCUAAAUCUAAACUGAUAAUAGCUGGAUCUGAGGUCUAUUUUAGAGAAAUAACUGGCACCUGAAGUUGAUGGAACAAGUCAUCAAUCUUAGGGAGUGAAUACUUAUUCUUGAUUGUGACUUUGUUCAACUAAUGAUAAUUGAUGUAGAUUUUAAGAGAACCAUCUUUCUUACGCACGAAAAAGACUGAAGAGCCCCAUGGGGAAACGCUGGGCCUGAUAAAUCCUUUAUCUAAGAGAUGUUUCAGCUACUCUUUCAACCCUCUAAGCUUAUUUGGAGCCAUUCUAUAGAGAGGAAUAAAGAUGGGAUGGGUAUCUAGAAGAAGGUCUAUUUCGAAGUCAAUUUCCCCUUUGGGAGGAACUCCAAGAAGAUCUUCGGGAAAACAUCUGGAAAUUCCCUCACUAUUGAAAUAGACUCAAGGCUGGGAGUGUCUAAACUAAAGUCUUUGACUUGAACAAGAUGGUAAACACACCCCUUGGAUAUCCUUUUUCUCGCUUUAAGGUACAAAACAAACUGACCCCUAAGUGCUAAAGUAUUACUCCUCCAUUCAAGGACUGUUUUAUUAAGAAACUAAAAAUAAACAACUCUGUUUCUAGAAUCAACUAAAGCAUAGCAUGAGUGAAGCCAAUCUGUGCCGAGAAUGACAUUAAAAUCAGUCAUCUCUAACUCCAAAGGAUCCAUUAAAGUGACUUUCUUGGAUAUUGUAAUCGAACAGAUCUUGUAUACCUGCCUGGCUAUAAUAGAAAUAUCUACUGAGGUGGACACAGAGAAGGGUUAUGCUAAAGUCUUAGGACUGACACCAAAAUUCACAGCUACAUAAGGGGUUACAAAGGAAAGCGAAGCUACGGGGUCUAACAAAGUAUAAAAUAGAGGUGAAAGACCUAAAAAUACCAAUAACCAUAUCAAAAGAACUUUUAUGAUCCUGUUGGGACUGAAGUACAUACAAUCUGUUCUGGUACUAACCGCUGGUGGCAUUAGAAGUGGCGCCUUCUACUGAGUUGGGCGUCCUGCUAGUGCUACUGAAGAGUUAAUCUGUUGGAGAUCAUUCAUACCUUUCCACAUACCUAUCAAACAUUUCCUCAACCCAUGGUCUAGCUUACCACAUCCAAAACACACAUCACUUCAAGCCCUGCAUAUACCUUGAUAAUUUGUAUCACACUUCCAGUAAAUGGGAUUAGUCCGACUACUGUUCACACUACCCUGAGUCUUAGAUCCUGGCGCCCUAUCUCGAUUAUUUCUGAACUUUGACACUAGAGCACUAGCUGAAGAUGGAGAUGGAGAUAAAUAUUUCUGAUAGAAUUGAGGAUGGUUACCACCCUCCAACCUUGGCUCGGCAAAACUAAAGCUCCCUGUCUUCUCCCUCUUACUCUCUCUUUUCUUCUCCUUAACUUUCUCUUCCUCAAUCUAUUGAGAAUGGACCGUCAAUCGAUAAAAGUCUAUCCCUUUAUCAACAUAGUGGUCCUACACUCCCUAACCAUGCUAUCAGCCACAUCAGAGACAAACUUAAUCAUCCUAGAUCUAUUAUCAGACACCACAUGAGGAGCAUACCUUGCCAGCUGAGUAAACUUAAGUGAAUACUCUUUCACACUCAUAUUGCCUGCUUUAAAUUAAUAAAUUCCAGCACCUUAGAUUCCCUUAGAUCCAAAUUAAAGAACCUAUCUAAAAAGGCUAUAACAAACUCCUCCUAUUCAACAGGCCCUGCAUCUGCGCUUCUAUCUCCCUUCUACUGCUUAUAAUAGGUGUGAGCAACAUCCUGCAACUGGCAAGUACCCAACUCUGGACUCUCAUUAGAAUUAACAACCAUAAUGUUAGUUACCUUUUGAACUAUUUCAAGAAACUCUUGCGGAUUCUUAUCAUACUUGGAUCCCAAAAACAAAGUAGGGUUCAUUCGGGUGAAGCCCUGAAUCCUAGCUGUGGCAAUAUUAGCCAUUGAAAAGAUGGGACAGUAGCCUGCUAAUUUUUCUGAGCUGCUACUGAGUGAGCUAAAUUAGUAAAUACAACUUUAAAUUUGGCAUGAGAGAUAUGCUCAUUUAGGGGAUCUUCCUGAACAGGUGGAUGAGCAGGCUGAUUUCUAUUUUUCCUUCCGUUAUUCUUUUUGGGAGGCAUGUUCUAUAAAUAGAAAGAAUAUUUAAUUAGAAAGAGAGUUUAAAUAGAGAUCAUGCUCAUUCGGACAACACAAAUACUGAAAGAAGGGGAACUUUUCCUAAAACGUCUUGUAGCCUCUUGUCCAUAAGUGUUGCGCGCUUUACACCCAUGCACAAGACUCUACUCAAUGUGCCUUUUAAACUCCCUAGGACGCGUUGAAAACUUAGGAUUUAAUACUAAUUUUGUAACGCUUCGAGAGUACACCCUAUACGCCACACGAUUCUUACAGUCUUGAGAGACCACAAGCUAACCCAUGAGCUGGUACCUGUUGUGAGCACUGAAUAAUAUACUGAUAACAAACAUGUGUAGAAACAACUAAGUGUUCCAUAAGGUUUCAAUACUGAAAAUAAUACAACUAAAAUUUGUAAGUCUGAAACAUAAGAAAAAUUUUUGAAAACUGACUAACAAAAUGACAACUAACUGAUUAUCUGAAAUGUUCGAAAGCCUCUAAAACUGACUGAAUGAGAGUUGAUGGGACAAUCCCUAACUAAAUCCAACUGAUUACUGAACUGAAAUACAAAAAUAACAUAACCGAUCCUGGAAUAUGAAGACUCAACACUGCUAAUACACUAGGAGAUCUAGGUGCGGUUUGAAAAAGAAAAAGAGGUCUAGGUGCCUAUUUUAUUAAAAGAAAAAGAGUUCAAUACAAAAUAAAUGGGCCAGGCCAAAAAUUAACCUGACCCAAAUGGCCUGAACCGGAUCCAACAAACAAAAAAAUACUAUCAGACAACCAUAGGUUUAGUAUUCAUUAUAGAAAGAUAAACAACCAUAGUGUUAUCCCUUCUUCGCUGCCUAGAUCACCGAUGAGGUUCUAUCUAUGUGCUUUAGCUUCUUCCUCACCCUAUGUGGAUCAUCAACUUUCUAUCUCUCCAUUUGUUAAGUUAAGUGUCUAAACUUCUAAUUACCUUCUUCCCUUUUCUAGCUCAAUGGGUUGAGUUUCUUAAGAAACUAAUACUACCAUUUUACAAUGAAAAUAGAGUCCAGUAACUAAAGUUUCAUAGCUUUGAUUUCAUAAAAGGUGUGUCUAAACCACUCUUUGGGAUUUUCUAGAUCUACCUUUGCUGGCAUUUGAGUAUUAAAACCCUUUGCAUCCAAAAUCUCACUGGAUGCAGGCAUCAUACUCAAAAGGAAAUCACUUCUAAGACUAGGUAGUUACAUCUCUACAAAUUCCUAAUUUGAUUACAACACCACUUAUUUAUGUUUUAUCACAUGAUAUAAUGCUACAUUAUUUCUAUUUUUCUACAGAAUGAGAUGAGUGAAAAGAACCCUUUAUCGAUUUGCAUCAAUUUGCAUAUUCCAGUUCUAGGUUCUAAUUUUUUGUUAACAUCUUAUCCCCUUGCUCUUUAUUCACCAUCUGAAACCUCCAAAUGUUGUUGUAUGUUGCACUAUUUUUAUGAAAUUUUUGUUGCUACUUCAAAUUAGUUGUGAAACUUUUCUAAUAUUUAGAGUCGUAAUUUUGUCGAAAUAAUGAUAGCUUUUCCUUCUGCUGGCCACUAUUACAUAUUAUUGUACUGAAAUUCACCUACAAAAUCAAAAACUAAAUUAGUAAAACAAAUUAGCUAGAGUGUUAUAUUCCCGAAAGGAAUGUACCACUCUAACUGAUCUAUUUCCAUCUUAGCUUUAAUAGAUUUGACCACGAUUGUUAUACUCCAUGGGACCUUCCACUGUUGAUUGGGAAUCUAUACCAUAGCCCAUGAAUCAGUUUGCACCACUAUUUGAUGAAUAUAAUUAGUUGUACAGAACUGAAGGCAUUCCCUGAUAGCUCUAGCUUCUGCAACUAAGCUAGUAGCAUCUUUAAUUCUAGAACCUUUUGCUACCACUAGGUCUCCAAACUAAUCUCUAAUGCAAAAUACAAUAGAACUAGGUCCAGGAUUUCAUUUAAAGGCACCAUCUGUCUUACCCUUUAAUGUAACACCCCGAGAGUACACCCUGGAUGCCACACGGUGCUAACAGUCUCAAGAUACCACAAGCUAACCCCUGAUCUAGUGCCUACUAUGAGUACUGAAUAAUAUACUGAUAACGAACGUGUGCGAAAACAACUAAAUAUGCCAUAAGGUUUCAAUACAGAAAACAAUACAGCUGAAAUCCACAAGUCUAAAACAUAAGAAAAAAUGCUAAAAACUGAAUGAUAAAACUGACAACUAACUGAUUGUCUGAAAUGUCCAAAAACCUCUAAAACUAACCAAAUGAGGGUUUAUGGAACAGUACUCAACUAAAUCCAAUUGACAUCUUAACUAAAAUAUUAAAAUAACAUAAUAGGUCCUCGAAAUAUUAGGACUCACCACUACUACUAUUGCUGAUGCACUGGGAGGUCUAGGUGUGGUCGAGAACCUGAGGAUCUGAACCAAUGAUAUGAUAUAUCAUAGCGCAAGAAAUGAGUAUGCGGUUAGUACUUUGAAUGUAUUGGUAUGCUAGGUGGGGUUAGGCUGAUAUACAUGGGCUCGUGUACAUUAAUAAUGACUGAAUGAAUAGCAUAAGAUAACUGAUACAUGGUAUGCAUGAAAGUUGAUACAUGACAUAAUUUCAAUUCAAAAAUGAUAGGUUAAGGAUUUAACAUGCAAAUAUUAUCCUUCAAAUGGGUCAAAGGCUAAUUCCAAUAAAAACACAUGUAAACAUGAUAUAAAAAUUAAAAUUCAUGAAAGUUCACAGAUAAAAUUCAUGAAAACAUGUAAAGGUCAUGAUUUUAAACUUUAAAGCAGAUUCUUGGACUCCAUGGGAGAAAAGGACCCAUGAAUGAACAUCUAGCAUACCUUAACUGAUGAAUUUUUGUGAGUCCUUGGUGAUUUCUUGAAGCUUAAACUUGGAUUUGAAGAAGCUAGGGUUUUGUUCUUGAGAGAGUUUGUGAAAAUAUGAGUGAUUUUUCCCUUUUGGGACCUUAAUAUCAUGUUAUGGGUGAGACUAAGUAAGGGAAAACUGACUCAAAUAGCCCCACAUACCCAAAAUUAAUUAAACUAAAUAUGGCUAGUGACGCAUUAAGCGACGCAUCGCAUCGCUCUGUCGAUGCGUUAGGCAACGUGCCACGUUGUACCCCACCAAUGUGACAAGUGGCACGCCACAGUCAUAUCGCGUUGACUCGCUGGUUUGAACAUCCAAUCAAUCCUCAAAACUCGUCUGAAAAAUCCAAAACUUACCCAAGACAUGCUAGCGACCACCCCAAUCAUGAAUCAACUUCAAAAUCGACAUUCUAAGGCUGGAAAGCUCAAAAUUAAAAUCAUCCAAGUUUACGAGGCUUUGGAAAUGCCUAAGUCUUAACACUUUGUGAAAUUUUCUAAGUCUUGGACCCCUUUAGCAUGCAAUAGCUUUUCCUUCUGCUGGCCACUAUUACAUAUUAUUGUACUGAAAUUCACCUACAAAAUCAAAAACUAAAUUAGUAAAACAAAUUAGCUAGAGUGUUAUAUUCCCGAAAGGAAUGUACCACUCUAACUGAUCUAUUUCCAUCUUAGCUUUAAUAGAUUUGACCACGAUUGUUAUACUCCAUGGGACCUUCCACUGUUGAUUGGGAAUCUAUACCAUAGCCCAUGAAUCAGUUUGCACCACUAUUUGAUGAAUAUAAUUAGUUGUACAGAACUGAAGGCAUUCCCUGAUAGCUCUAGCUUCUGCAACUAAGCUAGUAGCAUCUUUAAUUCUAGAACCUUUUGCUACCACUAGGUCUCCAAACUAAUCUCUAAUGCAAAAUACAAUAGAACUAGGUCCAGGAUUUCAUUUAAAGGCACCAUCUGUCUUACCCUUUAAUGUAACACCCCGAGAGUACACCCUGGAUGCCACACGGUGCUAACAGUCUCAAGAUACCACAAGCUAACCCCUGAUCUAGUGCCUACUAUGAGUACUGAAUAAUAUACUGAUAACGAACGUGUGCGAAAACAACUAAAUAUGCCAUAAGGUUUCAAUACAGAAAACAAUACAGCUGAAAUCCACAAGUCUAAAACAUAAGAAAAAAUGCUAAAAACUGAAUGAUAAAACUGACAACUAACUGAUUGUCUGAAAUGUCCAAAAACCUCUAAAACUAACCAAAUGAGGGUUUAUGGAACAGUACUCAACUAAAUCCAAUUGACAUCUUAACUAAAAUAUUAAAAUAACAUAAUAGGUCCUCGAAAUAUUAGGACUCACCACUACUACUAUUGCUGAUGCACUGGGAGGUCUAGGUGUGGUCGAGAACCUGAGGAUCUGAACCAAUGAUAUGAUAUAUCAUAGCGCAAGAAAUGAGUAUGCGGUUAGUACUUUGAAUGUAUUGGUAUGCUAGGUGGGGUUAGGCUGAUAUACAUGGGCUCGUGUACAUUAAUAAUGACUGAAUGAAUAGCAUAAGAUAACUGAUACAUGGUAUGCAUGAAAGUUGAUACAUGACAUAAUUUCAAUUCAAAAAUGAUAGGUUAAGGAUUUAACAUGCAAAUAUUAUCCUUCAAAUGGGUCAAAGGCUAAUUCCAAUAAAAACACAUGUAAACAUGAUAUAAAAAUUAAAAUUCAUGAAAGUUCACAGAUAAAAUUCAUGAAAACAUGUAAAGGUCAUGAUUUUAAACUUUAAAGCAGAUUCUUGGACUCCAUGGGAGAAAAGGACCCAUGAAUGAACAUCUAGCAUACCUUAACUGAUGAAUUUUUGUGAGUCCUUGGUGAUUUCUUGAAGCUUAAACUUGGAUUUGAAGAAGCUAGGGUUUUGUUCUUGAGAGAGUUUGUGAAAAUAUGAGUGAUUUUUCCCUUUUGGGACCUUAAUAUCAUGUUAUGGGUGAGACUAAGUAAGGGAAAACUGACUCAAAUAGCCCCACAUACCCAAAAUUAAUUAAACUAAAUAUGGCUAGUGACGCAUUAAGCGACGCAUCGCAUCGCUCUGUCGAUGCGUUAGGCAACGUGCCACGUUGUACCCCACCAAUGUGACAAGUGGCACGCCACAGUCAUAUCGCGUUGACUCGCUGGUUUGAACAUCCAAUCAAUCCUCAAAACUCGUCUGAAAAAUCCAAAACUUACCCAAGACAUGCUAGCGACCACCCCAAUCAUGAAUCAACUUCAAAAUCGACAUUCUAAGGCUGGAAAGCUCAAAAUUAAAAUCAUCCAAGUUUACGAGGCUUUGGAAAUGCCUAAGUCUUAACACUUUGUGAAAUUUUCUAAGUCUUGGACCCCUUUAGCAUGCAAGAGUGAGCUAUAAUGAGCUAGGAUCUUACAGGGUCUUAUAUUUAACCGUCCACUCUCAUCCAUCUCACUAGUUUAUGAGUAUAGAAAAAUCUAUACUCAUGAAGAUCAUCCACUAUACUAGUCCACUUUCUUCCAGUUAAGUCCAUAUAAAACUUGAGCUUAAUAAACUUGACAAUACUAGUAUCUACUUCCCAAAAAAUCUUUCUUUCCUGAUAAACACCCCCAUUUAUAAUAGUGUUCCUCUUUUUCCACAAAAACCAAAGAAUAACUGUAGGGACUAUGUUAAAAACAACCCUCAUUCUAACAUUACAAUCAUGAUUUCUCCACAUUCUUACACUUUGCUUCACAUUUAUUCUUUGAUCAACUAAUCCAACUUCUCCACAGUAGUAAUUCCACACUUUUUCAGCAAUUUCCCCUUUAAGAAAUAGAUUGUUUAUUGUUUCUCUUUUCGAAUUAGAGAAACAGAUACAAUUCUUUUAGAUUUCAGGAUUCUAUUUAUUCAUCGCAAAAGAAACUAGAAUCCUCCCAUUCCAUAUUCACCAAAUUAAGAAAGAAAAUUUAAAAGGCAAUCCUUUAUGCCAUAUUUUCUUUAAAUCUUUAAUUACAUCAACCCUUUUCCUUAGAAGAUCCCAAGCACUUUUGGUAGUGAAAUGUCCUACACUAUUCAUUGUCCACUAAGAUUUAUCUGAAUUAUCUACAAGACAUACAAAAUCCAUAUUAUCUCUAACAUAGGUUACUACAUGUUCUGGUACUAAAUCUUACAUAACCUCAUAGUUCCAUCCCUCAACACCUAGGAAAUCAAAAAUCUCAGACAAAGGGUGACAAGUUUGAACCUCAGAUUGCUGCAUAAAUAGUGGACCAGUAUUCGUCCAAUUAUCAAACUAAGUAGAAGAUGUUCCACCUUUAGGUUCCCACCAAAUAUACUUUUCAAGUUUGUCCCUAUUGUUAAAAAUAGAUUUUUACACCUGCGAUCCACCUUUCCAUUAUACAGGAGCAGGUAACUAUUUUUUAUAGUACUUAUUCCACAUAAAGUUUGUCCACAAAUUAGUUUGAGUCCUAAACCUCCACCAAAGCUUGGCUUGUAUUGCAUGAGUUACAUCUUCCACUGAUCUAAACCCAAAACCACCUUCCAUUUUAGGAAGACAUAACUUUUUCCAGGACACCCAAUGAUUUCUUCCACUAAGAACUUUAUUUUUACAAAACAACUUAGCAAAUAUUCUCUACAUUUUUUCAUAAUACUCUUUGGUGGAACUAUUAUUGAUAAUACAUAGAGUGGAACACUCUGAAGUAUACUUUUGAUGAGAACCUCUUUGCCUCCAUAGGAUAAUAAUCUCCCUUUCCAAGCCUGAAGUGUACCUCUAAUCUUUUCAAUCAGAUCAACAUAAUCCCAUAGAGGCAAAGAGGUAUUCUAAUGCAUAUAAUCUUUUUUAUUUUUAGAAUGAGAUAAGGGAAAUCCAAAAUAUUUCAAUGGGAAAGAUCACCUAUUCAUCCCUAUAAUCUUCUCCAUCUGCCUUACCACAUUUGUAGAGGUAUUCUGAUGCAUAUAAAUAAAACUUUUCCCCUAUUCACCAUUUUUUCAGAUUUAGCUUGAUAGUCCUACAAGAUUUGCAUAAUUUUCUCCAUUGAAUACUCAUUAGAAGAGGUAAAUAUGAUAGUAUCAUCUGCAUAAGAAAGGUGGUUCAAAUUAGGGCUCCUCUUAGGCAUACCAUAUCCCACAUAGGAUAUGUCAUUAAAUAACAAAUUAAGAGCUCUUGGAAUCACUUCAGCUGAUAAAAUGAAAACUACAGGGAACAAAGGAUCCCCUUGUUUCACUCCUCGUGUUGAAUAAAGAAACCAACUGCAUGACCAUUCAACAAUAUAGAAUAAUAAUUUCUAGAGAUUAGUCUUCAUAUCACAUCUACCACUUUAUUUGAGAAACCAAACUUCCUUAUUAAUUUCAUCAAGAAAAACCAAGAGAUCUUAUUUAGGAUUUGGUCAUGUCAAGUUUCAGUACUAUAUUUGAAGGUUUUCCUCUUUUUCCAAUAUCAACAAUAAAUUCUUGAGUAAGCAGGGCAUUCUCCACAAUACUCCUUUCUUUCACAAAUCCUAAUUGAUUUGGGGAUAUCAAUCUAGGUAACAGAUUUUCCAACCUAUCAUGCACAAUCCUAGACAUGAUUUUAUUAACAAAAUUACUCAGACUAAUUGGUCUUAAAUCAGAAAAGAAUUGCACAUUAUCCUUUUUAGGAAUAAGAACCAAUUUAGUAUGUGUAAUAGAUUUAGGGAGAGUAUUACCUUCAAAUAAAUCCUCAACCAAACUCCUUACAUAUCCACCAAUAAUGUCCCAACACACCUGAUAAAUUCUGCCAUUUAACCCAUCAGGUCCACUUCUACUAUUCCCAUUUAGUUUGAACACAACCUGUUUAAUCUCUUUCUCAUAUGGAAUAGCUUCAAGUACCAUAUUUUCCUCCUCAGUCACAACAUUAGGAAUGUACUUUAAUAGGGGAAAAUCUAUUGCAUCUCUACAUUGUGAAAACUACUUUUGAUUAAAAAAUAGCCUCUUUUAUAAUCUGAGCUUCAUUUUUUAACCAGCAACCAGAAUCACCAAUGAUUCAGCAAAUUUUUAGCCCAUAUUUCCUCUCUUUAACUAUGGUAUGGAAGAAUGUAGUGUUUCUAUCCCCAUUCUCAAACCAAUCAUACCCAGCCUUCUAUUUCCAAUAGCUUUCUUCUAGUUGAAGAUAUCUGAUAUAUUCAGCCUUUGCUCUCUGCAUAACAACUCUAUUUAAUUAUAAGGGAGAGUCCUCAAACAACUUCUCUUUAAUCCUAGCUAUUUCUUCCCUAAUUAUCAACUACUAAAAAAUAUCUCUAUAAGUCUGCCUACUCCACAGAGAAAGAGCUUUUUUAACCUUCUUAAUCUUCCUUUACAAAUCAUGAAAAGGGUUAUUAGAGCAAUCAACCUCCAUAAAUUAAAAAUGUUCUAUCUAGAAAUUGAGAAACAUAAAAGACUUCUUCACCUUUUUCAAUACUCUCACAGUAUAGCACUAAAGGGGCAUGAUCCAACCCAUCUCUAGCUAAAUAUUCCACCUCUACUAGAUUAAACAUAGCUUGAAAAUCAGCAUUACAAAAAAAUCUAUCCAGUUUCUCAAAAAUGCAAUCAUCCUCGGCCCUCCCACUCCACCAGGUAAAAGGGCUACCCUUGUGAUGAAUUUGGGUAAGCUCAGCAAUUUCAAAACAAUCUCUAAAGUCCUCAGUUUUAGCCAAAGUAAUUGGCAAAACUCCAAUGUUAUCUGAUGCAUAAAAUACUGAGUUAAAAUCCCCUUCAAUGAUCCAUGGUUUAGAGAUACCAUUGGAUAUGGAAAUAAUAUUAUCCUAUAAAUCCAUCUUUUAACUUCUGUCAUAUUUAGCAUAGACUAUAGUCAUCAUAAAAGGACCCCAUUAUACUGAUCAAGAAGAUGAAGAUUCGGUAGCUGUUCUAUGUCUUGUUUAACUGUCACAUUAAAUCCAUGAUUCAUAAAACACCAAAUUUUACCAUUAUAGUUGUGAAAUAUAAGAGGCAUUUGAAAUCUUCCUCUAUAUUUAUUAAUAUGCCUAGACUGCUAAAAUGGCUUCAAAAGUACUAUGAAAGAAAACUUGUUUAAUCUAUUCAGCAUUUGAACUCUCUGGAAAGUUCUUUGAGAUUUGGCCAACCUGAUAUCCCACACCAGUGCUUUUAUCAUUGCUUAGAAUAUUGACUUACAUACCUCUCUUGGGUUGAGAUCUGCUAGGGAGAUUUCGGUCCCCAUUACUUGGCUUUUUCCCUUUCUUACCUUGCUUCAGGGAUUUGAUUGUUCUUGGAGAUAAGUCUGCUUCUUUAAAUAUUUGCUCCUCUAGAUUAUUUUUGUUAGUUUUAUCCUCCACCCCUUCUAUCAAUCCCUAAAGUUCAUCUACUACUUUUACCUGAUGGGUAAGAAUAUCAUGAAGAACUAUGUUAGGAGACUCAAAAUCACCACUCCAUUCUUGUUCAGCUACUGGAAUAAGGAGUUGGACAAUAGCAAGUCUUCUGUUGUUGUCCUUAAUUGGAUAUGUUACAUCUUCUAAUUGUGCAUGAUUAGAACUCACAUCUUUGCUUAUUAAAACCUCCUUCUAUAUAUCACAAUUAUCAAAUAAGUUACUAAAAUGUAACUUUCUUAUACUUCCAGUGUGUUUAUGCUACUUAUCCAUGCUCUAUUUCUCUCUUCCAUUAGACAUUUGUUAUCAAUACAAUCAGGUAUGUUAUGCUGAUCUUGUACUUUCUAUGUCUACUUAUUAUUUGAGUUUUUACUCCUUUGUUGUGUAGAUGUAGAAAUUUAGUGUUACUAGCUUGACUUAUGUGUUGUUCUAGUUGAUCUUAAUAGAUUCUAAUGUGCAUAACGAGUUCCUAAGGGUAUGAUUAUGUAAUUAUGUGUGCAAUAAAUUUUUUUAUAGUAUCUAAUGUUCACUUGAAACAAUCCAAGAUACAAAACAAUAAUUUAAAGAUCAAAAGGACAACAGUAGUAUUCUUAGCUUAUGAUUCUAGUUCAUCGUCUUGAAUUCUAUAUCAUUGUGAGCUCUAAUACGCGGCGUUUGAUACUAUAGGAUUCUUGGUGAGUUUAUAAUUCAUAUAUAUGUAUGAUACACAAACUGAAAAUCAACUUUAAACAACACCAAAAGUCUCGGAAAGGAUGGACAAACACAUGGAACAAGAUUUAACCAAAAAUGGACGUUUUGGAGUCAUUGGCUUGCCAAAGAACUUAGGCACCACGUUAGAGAUGUUCCAUGGACUUGGGGGCUUCCUAAAUUAAUACUUAAAGUAUAUAAAUGUGAUUUUUCCAUGACACUUACCUUAAUCACUGUGAUAUGGGCGUUGCUCACCGCUAUGUCAAAAUCCGCAGCUUGUGUCCUCCUAUAAAUAGGACCCUUAAACAUUAUGUUACACAACUUGGAUGGCAUUGAAACUUUAAGGGAGGAUGGAUAACACUUUAAUUAUGGUUUUUAUUCCAUUAAUUUUGUAUUAUUAUCUAUUCUAACAUGUAUUCAAUCAUUGUGAUUAUGGUUAUGUCCUUGAGUGGCUACACAUACUUUUUCGGGGGAAAUGCCAAGAGCAUGAUUACUCUUGUUAUGAAUUGAUUUGUUUUUGAUUAUUUAUAACAUUUGGUUAUUUAUUUAUUAUUUUUAUUACUAUUUUAAGGAUUCUUAACCCUUAUAAUACAUCCAUUGUCAUCUUGUGAUCCCGGAAGGAGAAACAAGAGGAUAGAACGUGGGGUAAAUAGAAUUGGACUGUAAUAUUCAAUAAAAUGAAGUUAUAGUUUGCAUUAAGGAAAGGAAUAUACAUAAUUUACAUUUUUUUUACUUACUGGAUGAAAUAUAAAUGCAUUUAACUUAGUUGCCACAUCCUGGCUCAAUGAUGUAGUUAUGGGGCUUAGCUAGACAGGUUAUUAGAUAAUCAAAAGACCAUAGUCAUUAUUUCAAAUCCGUAAAUCAGCAACUAAGAUAAUUGACCUAACCAAUGAUGUUCUAUCAUGUAGUAUGAGUGUUUGUAGUGGUUAACCCUGGGUUACUCCCAUUUAUUGUCCAAGAACCUUUACUUUUCUGCAUUAUUUACUUUACUUUCAGUUUAUAAAUCUCAAACUCUUUUGGUUACUUUUACACAAAUUUAAUCAUAAUAGUGAACUAAAAUUGAAUAGUUGUCAAUACAAGUCCCUGUGAGAUUGAUACUUGGCUUAAAAGGGGCCACUUUCCAACUUAGUGGGACCACGCACACUUGCGUGUGUGCUUGGGCGCAACAACUUUUUUGGCGCCAUUGCCAGGGACUUUUAAAUAGGAAACUAUAUUAUUUUUAGUUUUUUUAUAUUGAUUUGUACAUAGCUUAGUAUUUUUCUUUUUAUUUCUUUUACUUUUCUAUCACACUUUGUGAUAUGUCAGCCUCGGAUAGAUAGUUUGGGAGUGAUAAUGAUUCUUAUUAUUUUUGUAGAGGAAUCCACCGAGAGGGUUAUUGUCCAAAUUUUUAGGAAAGCAAGUGGUUAGUACCUUCACCAGAUGAGGUGGAUACUAGCCUAUCUGUGGAGAAAACACAAGAAUUUUAGCCAUUCAACUGUCAUCUUUUUCUUAAGACUGACAAUGAGAAGGUGAAUAAGAGUGAGUGUGUUGUGGAUGGUGUAAAUUUGGAAGUGGUAUUGGUUGGGACUCAUUCAAAUCACUUUCUUACAUUAUGUUAAGAUAAUGACAUGUCUUUGGAGUCAUCUAAAAUAGUUGAAGAGUGUGAAGAUCAGGAACAAGAAUUUUAUUAUUAAAUUUGCUCCAGACCAACAAUACAAAAGCUUGCCUCAUUUUAAGGUAGAGUGAUCUACCAUGCACCAUUCAUUACUUGGUUCUUUUAUCUUUGUACCACCACUCUAUGAGUGAAUAAAAAAUUUAGAUACGAGGUAUGGGAUGAAAUUUAUAUCCUCAAAGUAGAGGAAAAAAUUGAUAUGGAUCAUGCCACUUCACUAAAUCAGGCGCUGCUUGGGAGGAAACCCAAGUUAAGGUAGGUGUUUAUUUUUUGUAUUAUCAGUUUUUACUUCACUUAGUUUUUUGUUUUUUUUUGAGUCACAGGUUGAUAGGAAGUCUGAGUACCAGAAAUCGAAGCUAAGAAGCAUGGCAAAGAUUGAGUAUGGGGUCCUCGAACCCUCUUGAUGUAUAAAGAGUCUACUAGCUAGGCCUAGAGGCCUCAGGGAGUAUUUUUAUCCCUACUUUUAAUUUUACUUUGGGGACAAAGUAGAUUUUUAAGUGUGGGGUGGGGAAAUUCCUAUUGUUUAAGGUGAAAUCAUGUUGUACGGUCUUGAGUCUUAGUUUUUUUUGGUAAAUAAAGCAUUUUAUUUCACCAAAGAAAUUACAACAUCAAGCAGGUUCAUAGCCCUUUGCUUCUCAGUUUAAACAGACAAUCAAUACUUAAGAGAGGUCAUCACUAAUAGGCUAAGAGUCCUCAAAGAUAAGAUAGAAAAUCAAUGUAAACUAGAUUUUAAACUAUUUUAACUAGUGUUUUAGCAGGUCUAUAUUAAGAAUUUUUUUCUUUAUCAUGGAAUUGUUGAUAGCACUGUUGUCCACUUUUUGUACGAUCUACCUCUAAUAUUGAUAUGGUAAGUAAUUUAUCUACACACUCUAUCUACCUGGUAGCUUCCUUAUUGGAAUCACAUGAGGUUUUUUCCCUCCAUAUGGUGUUUACCAUUAUGGCAAGACACUACAUAGGAUGGAUCCCCUGAAAGAUUUCCCUUUUGCUUGUUAUGUUACACAUUUAACCUCGGUCAUCCUACUUCCAAUAGCUCUUUUCAUACCUAACCACAUCAACAUUCUAACCCAUAGACCUCUAGUAGUGUAGCACUCAAAGAAUAGGUGUUGAUAAGUCUCAUUAGCACUAUUAUAGAACACUCAAGAAGAUGGUAUAUAGAUUCCAAAUUUGGUUAGCCUUUCUACAGUUGAGAGUCUUUUUAAUAGGGCUAACCAAAGUGUAAAGAAAUUUCUAGGAUGUACAUUAUGGUUCAACAUAAUUCUUUUCCAGGGAACAUUAGGGAUUUACAAGAGCAUUGCACCAUACAUCUUUUUAAUAAGAAACUUGGAAUUCUGCAUACAGGUUGCCAGUCUUACCAAUAGAUCACCCUGUAGCCCUGAAGCUGACAUGACAUGAUAUUUUUUACUUAUAAUUUUCCUAAUUGCCCAAGUAGCAUUCUUAGGAAUUUCACAGGUUUCAAUAGCUUCAUAUUUGAGAUAAUAAGAAUAUACCCACCUUAUCCAAAGGUAAUCCUUUUUCUAUCUAAAGCCCACAGCUUUUUAGUGAUUGUUGCUUUGUUUUAUAAAUACAAAUUUAGUAUAUUCAGGCCAACUAGAGAUUUAGGAAUGCAUAGUUUUUGCUAAGCUACAAAAGCUCUCUUAGAGGUUAAAGUAGAACCUGUCCAAAGGAAUACUCUGUAGUAGAUGGUGAUGAGUUUCAUGAUUUUCUUUAGCAAUAGGAAGAUUUAUACCCAAUAAGCCUGUGUGCCAAAUAUUAUGGACUUAAUCAAUUGCAACCUCCCUACAUAAGAUAGUAACUUGGAAGACCAACAAUUUAAUUUUGCAAUAAUUUUAUCCACUAAUGGUUGGCAUUGAUCUAUUAUAAGAUUUUUGGUAGAAAAAAUCACUCUCAAGCACCUAAAAGGCAAGGAGCCCUCUUCAUAAACCAGAGAUAUGAGAAUAAGCUGCUUCAUCUGUGGUUUUUUCUAGAAAAAAAGAUAAAAUUCUUCUCAAUAUUUUCUUGAAGUCUUGAUGCUACUGAAAAUCUCUUGAAAGCCUACUAGAGUUGUGUGACAGAGGUGAGGUCAGCUUUGCAAAAUAAUAAUAAGUCAUCACCAAACACUAUGUAUUUUACCCCUAGUUUUUUAAAUCUAGGGUAAUAGUGAACCCUUUAUUUUGAUCUACCAUACUCAGCUCCUUGUUUAGGUACUCUAUUGCAAUUAUAAAAAGGUAACAUGACAUGGGGUCACCUUGCCUUAUAACUCUUUUUCCUGGAAAAGGUUUAGUUAAUCCACCAUUUACCACCAAAGAAUAAGAAACUAAGCUAAUACACACCAUGAUCCUGUUAAUAAAUUUUUGAGGAAAUCGCAGUUCUGCUAAUAAAAUCUUGAGGAAACACCAUUCUAUUAAGUCAUAUGCUUUCUUGAGGUCCACUUUUAUAACAUAUCUUGGAGAGAGCCCCUUUUUGGUGUCCACUUAAAUAGUUCUUGACUGAAUAAAAUAUUGUCAAUAAUACUCCUUUCUUCAAUAAAAGCAGACUGAGAUGGGCCAAUAAUAGUGCCUAUUACUCUUUUGAUCCUAUUUAUGAGGAUCUUGGUAGCCAACUUGUAGAAUGUGUUACAGCAGGCAAUAGGUCUAUAGUCUUUCACUUUUGUAGGGUUAUCACACUUUGGUAUUAGAGUGCUUAUUAUAUAGUUAAAGGAUCUCAACAUCUUACCAGAGUGAAAGAAUUCCCUAACUUAUUGGAAAACAUCAGCUUUAAUAGUAGCCCAUUAGCUGGUGAAGAAUUCUACAGGAAAUCCAUCCACUCCAGGUGCUUUGUCCCCUGGCAUACUCUUCAGAUCAUACAUAAUCUCAUGGUCAGUGACUUUUUGGAUGAGUUCUAGAUUCUGAGAGUAUGUUAGGCAUGAACCAUUCUUGAUCAAAGUAGACUUCGGGUAUGUGAGUUCAGUAGAAUUUGUCCCCAUAAGCCUAAAGAAAAAACCAAUGAAUUCUUUAUCUAUAAGAUAAGGGUCAGUGACUUUGUUCCCCUGGUUCUCAUGGAUGGAUGAAAUCUUGUUCCUGCUAGCUCUGAUUUUGCAUUAAGCUGGAAAGUACUUUUAGUUAGCAUCUUCACUUCUAAUCUACAUUGCCCUUAAUUUCUGCCUCAGCACUUUUUAUUCCAUUAAACUCCAUUGAUGAAGUUCAUGAGUUAAGGUCUUCUCCUCUAUAAUUAAUUCCUCAUUCAUAGGAGUUGAUACAAGCCUUGUCUGUGUGAUGUCCAUCUUCUUCCUUCAAGCUACAGCCUCUGAGCAUCAGAAUCAAGGUAGGUAUUCAAUCCUUUCAAGUCAUGCUUUAAAGUUUUAUGAUUUUGACUAAAGAUAAACAUCUUUAUACCAUAAAACUUUUUCCUCAAAGUGUGCUACAAUUCUUGGGAAAUUCUUGCACUCUAAAACAAUAUUAUACAGUUUAAAUGGCUUUGGUUUAGAGAUUACCUGAGCUAAAUUCUAGAUAAGGAUAGAUAAAUGAUCUGAAACCCCUGGAUUGAGGAAUUCAGCUUCAACAACUCCAUAGUUCUACAGCCAGUAGAAAUUCCCAAGCACCCCAUCAAUCUUAGAUUAUAUCAUGUGCUCCUAUUGUUAUUUGUUGCAGAAGAUGAGUGAUAGCCUCUUGCCUUAAGAAAAAUGAGUUGGAGCUGGUAUGCAUAGUCUCUAAAGUCCUGUACUUUUGGUUAGGUAACCAUUGAGCCAAGUCUGUCUUCAGAUAAUAAUACAAUAUUGAAAUCCCCACUGAGCAGCCAAGGAUCUUGAAUAGAUGUUCCUAUCAGUUAUAGACCCUCCCACAUUUCCACUCUCUCUUGCAUACUAUUUUUUACAUAGACAAUGGUGACAUAUGCUGAGAAGGAUCCCAUUGCAUAACUCACAUAGUAGUGUAUGAAUUAUUUUUUGACUACUAACAUAGAGACCUAUACGUGAGAUAGCCAACAUAACCAAAUCCUUCCAUUUUAUGCCUUUGAGUAGUUGCAGCUUGUUUUCCAUCCCUUAAAUAUUUUCUUUAUUAUAUUUGGGGAUUUAUUCUCUUUGACCCUAGUUUCUAAGCAUCCACGCAUAUCAACUUUAUAUUUCUUGAGAAAGAGUAUAAGUUUUUUUUAUUUUAGGGGCUGGUUCAGGCCCAUAAUGCUCCAAGUGGUGAUAAUCAUAUGUUUGGAGCCACACCAGGAAAACCCGGUGGGCCUUCAUCUAUUGGAAUAUUCUCAAGAGGAUCAAAUUUGUUUACAUUGACCAUUCUAGGUCUAGCUUGAUCCAUGGUAGGUAUCACACUAGAUGAACUAGAAUUACCUGUAGCUGGCUCAACAUUUGUGCAUCAUCUGGCUUAGGGGCAGUAGGGUUGUUUAGGCUAGGCUGGGUAUCUCUUUCCUUAUUCUACCAUUAUUGUUGUUUUGGUUUCCUUUGUUGUCUAUUUCUCUUUUUUCUCUUUGGAACAUCUUUGAAUUCCCCAUAUUGUUUUUCCACCUAGUCCUCCACUUCUAAAUAAUUUAUAAAAAGAUGACCAAACUUUAAGCAGUAUGCACAAUACUUAGGCCUCCAUUCAUAUUCCACAGUUUGUUGAAAUAUACUUGUAGGUGUAAUCAUUUCUAUAUUGUCCAGUAAUGGCUGAGAGACAUUUGUUUCUACUAGUACCCAAUCAUAGGAAAUCCUCUCCAUUUUUGUAGUAACUUGAUCUGUGUGCUUUGGUUUACCCAUGGCACUUACAACCUUGCUAAGGGCCUCGCUUGACCAAUAGCCAAUAGGUAAACCCGGGAAUGUAACCUAUUAUGGAAUAGUUGUAAUAUAAUCUAAAUUAAAAUUAAAACUAAUAUCCUAAGCUUGCACAAUAAAUGGCUUAUUAUGGAAAGUAUAAAGACCCUCUAUCAGGAUUUGAUUGCAUUCCUCAGUAAUUCAAAUCUAAAUAUGAAAUACCCAGAAUCAUGACAUAAAAUCUGUGGGCUUUUAGCAUAUUUCUAGAUUAGGGACACAUAUUUUUCAAUAGACCUCACGUAAAGAGUAUACCCAAUUACAUAGCCUAUUAACACAAAUUUCCAGUACUCUACAUUACUACGCAAGUCAUCUUCUACAAUACUUACAGUGAUCUUACCUUGUUUCACAGUAGGAGGGAUAUAGAUAGAGCUUUAACCUUUGAAGCUACUCUAUUCUCACUAUACUUAGCCUUUACCUCUGGAGGGGUGUGAGCAGAAGUUGUUGUCUUCGAGAGUUGGAGUCGCCGAUUUACUGAGGGCAGUUGAGUCAUCGUAGUUGCGUAGGUGCAACGACUUUUGGAAGUCAGUAGUUGUUGAUCCAUCUACAGCCUCUUCUAGAAUGGAUUGAAAUUUUGGGGAAGGUAAGUGCCAAAAGUAAUUGAUGGAAGUGUAAUACUAGAACCAUCCUAGGGAGUAACCAACUUUUCCGGUGAGCCAAAGAUAUUCUUCGAUUGGGCCGUGGUUUUUCAGUAUAUGUGCAUGUUAGCUUCUUUGCUAAAAUGCGCUGAGAGUCUUUGUUAUUUUUCUAUUUUUUAAGUAAAUUUGAAAAAAUUACAAAAAGAUUUUCUCUUUUUAGUUUUUAGUUUAUUUGGGCCAGUCUAGUAGGUACACAUUUCACCCAC